CCUACGGGAGGCAGCAGUGGGGAAUCUUGCGCAAUGGGCGAAAGCCUGACGCAGCAACGCCGCGUGCGGGAAGAAGGCCUUCGGGUUGUAAACCGCUUUCAGAAGGAACGAAAAUGACGGUACUUUCAGAAGAAGGUGCGGCCAACUACGUGCCAGCAGCCGCGGUGACACGUAGGCACCAAGCGUUGUCCGGAUUUAUUGGGCGUAAAGAGCUCGUAGGCGGUUCGGUAAGUCGGGUGUGAAAACUUUGGGCUCAACCCAAAGCGUGCAUUCGAUACUGUCGUGACUAGAGUUCGGUAGGGGAGCGGGGAAUUCCUAGUGUAGCGGUGAAAUGCGCAGAUAUUAGGAGGAACACCGGUGGCGAAGGCGCCGCUCUGGGCCGAAACUGACGCUGAGGAGCGAAAGCGUGGGUAGCAAACAGGAUUAGAUACCCUGGUAGUCCACGCCGUAAACGUUGGGCACUAGGUGUGGGUCUCAACCAACGAGAUCCGCGCCGUCGCAAACGCAUUAAGUGCCCCGCCUGGGGAGUACGGCCGCGAGUAAACGUUAAAGUAAGUAGACGGCGNGAGACGUGCCGAACGGAACGACGACGAGGGGAGUAGG
Molecule: ribosomal RNA, 603 nt
Filed under: uncultured bacterium
Lineage: Bacteria
Description: bacterial SSU rRNA
Rfam family: Bacterial small subunit ribosomal RNA (bases 1-521)
Source: RNAcentral